This 69-nucleotide transfer RNA is filed under the name Cheilinus chlorourus (floral wrasse). RNAcentral's name for it is "tRNA-Met". It matches the Rfam family "tRNA". From Rfam's summary of the family: Transfer RNA (tRNA) molecules are approximately 80 nucleotides in length. Their secondary structure includes four short double-helical elements and three loops (D, anti-codon, and T loops). Further hydrogen bonds mediate the characteristic L-shaped molecular structure. tRNAs have two regions of fundamental functional importance: the anti-codon, which is responsible for specific mRNA codon recognition, and the 3' end, to which the tRNAs corresponding amino acid is attached (by aminoacyl-tRNA synthetases). tRNAs cope with the degeneracy of the genetic code in two manners: having more than one tRNA (with a specific anti-codon) for a particular amino acid; and 'wobble' base-pairing, i.e. permitting non-standard base-pairing at the 3rd anti-codon position. RNAcentral also lists the same sequence under 1 other name. The record is from RNAcentral. Lineage: Eukaryota; Metazoa; Chordata; Actinopteri; Labriformes; Labridae.
AGUCAGAUCAGCUAAGUAAGCUCUCGGGCCCAUACCCCGAAAAUGUAGGUUAAAGUCCUUCUCUCGCUA